UCAAACCCUAGGGUCUCUCAGAAUGCGCGAAUCCCGCACUAUCAAUACACCCACCACCAUGGCGAAGAAGCGGAAGCUCGAAGCGGAACCCUCACAAAUCAAUGAGGAUGUGAAAAGCGUUGCUGGAGACAAAGUAGAAGAAAUUGGGCACGACGAAGUUGAAGUGGUAGAGGAAGAAGAAGCGCAUGCUGAAGAAGACGAUCCACACAGCAUCUGCUGCGUCGGAGAGGAGCCAAUCUCGAUCAACAAUGUUGGUGGCAACGCGUUAACAAUUCCAAGCAAUAACGACGGAGGCGGCGAAGAGCCAAUUGAGAGCAACAACAACGGCGACUAGGCAGAGGAGGAAGAGGAGCCUAUUCAGAGCGUCCUAGCUGCUUUUUAGUAAGGAAUCACUGGUCCAAUUGCUCACGGAAGCCGCCGAUCGCCACGCCGACGUGGCGGCUAGGGUUCGGGCCUCGGCGGAUCUGGAACCCUCCAACCGGAAGAUAUUCGUGCACGGCCUCAAGUGGGACACCACCACGGAGACGCUGUUCGAGGAGUUCGCGAAAUUCGGUGAAAUUGAGGAUUGCCGCGUCAUCACCGACAAGGCCACUGGCCGAUCCAAGGGCUACGGGUUCGUUCUCUUCAAGACCCGCCUCGAAGCUCGCCAGGCUCUGAAGGAGCCUCAGAAGUUGAUCGACGAACGAAUGACGUCGUCCCAGCUGGCAUCCGUGGGGUCUAUUGCUACGGCAUUUCCACAGAAACCGGUGACAGAGUAUACACAGAGGAAGAUUUUUGUGGGUAAUGUGGGGGAGGAUUUGGAUCCGGAGAAAGUGAAGAAUUUCUUCUCUAUGUGUGGGGAGAUCGAGGAAGGCCCUUUGGGGCUAGAUAGAGAGACUGGCAAGCCAAAGGGCUUCUGCUUGUUUACAUAUAAGACUGUGGAAAGUGCAAAAUUGGCGUUGAGCUAGCCUCAUAAGCAGUUUGAAGGGGUUACAUUGCAUAGCCAACAGGCAAUUGAUGGACCAAAGCCUCGGGCUAAGAAUCUGCAAUAUGUCGACAAUGUGUAUCCUAGUAUGGUUGGUUCAACUAUGGCGCCGCCUCCCUAUAUGCAGUUGGACCCUUCUGCUGCAGUAGGACAGGCACUGAGCCUUCUCGGGGCGUUUGGAGUGGCCACGGGGAUGUAUAACAACUCUAUAGUGGUGCCGGGUGGCUAUGGGAUGGGUGGUGUAGUGAACAUGGGAUCAGCUGGGUUGGAAGGAAGUUGGAAUCAAAGGGGAUACCCGACCAACCAGAUGAGACGGCGAGGUCGUGGCAGAGGACGCCAUGGUCGCAAAGGUCAGUAGAUUUUGAACAGUGAAAACCUGAAUGGGGAUUUUGCUUCAAUCGGUCUUCACAAACCAGGCAUUUGCGUAUUCAUAUAUAUUUUGGCAGUGCCUACUACAAUUUUCCAAUCUAUCAUCUAUAAACUUAUCUUCUCAUAGACAGGAGAGCUUUAUAUUUUCAUAUUUAAAUAUUGGGAAGUGGUUUGUAACAUAUUUUGGUCAUUGUUGUGGUUUAUUUUGUGAAAAUUUUCUUCUCCUAACAGUGAUUGUUAAUAUUUCCCUCACUUGUGUUUCAUGAGUAGCGACCUUUUUUUUUUUAUUAUCUUUUCAUCCAUUUCUGAUCGUGUUUGUAUAUGAAAUAUGGUCUGCUUGACUGCUUCUCCUGUGGAUUU
Salvia splendens (bonfire salvia) is the source of this 1693-nucleotide long non-coding RNA. RefSeq lists it as uncharacterized. Lineage: Eukaryota; Viridiplantae; Streptophyta; Magnoliopsida; Lamiales; Lamiaceae. The record is from RefSeq and is a predicted model, not a curated record. The transcript has 2 exons.